This 164-nucleotide ribosomal RNA is filed under the name uncultured bacterium. Its description in RNAcentral is "partial 16S ribosomal RNA". It matches the Rfam family "Bacterial small subunit ribosomal RNA", at positions 355 to 511 of the family's 1533-position model. The record is from RNAcentral.
UAGGGAAUCUUCCACAAUGGGCGAAAGUCUGAUGGAGCAACGCCGCGUGAGUGAAGAAGGGUUUCGGCUCGUAAAACUCUGUUGUUAAAGAAGAACAUAUCUGAGAGUAACUGUUCAGGUAUUGACGGUAUUUAACCAGAAAGCCACGGCUAACUACGCGCCAG